GAUGAACGCUGGCGGCGUGCUUAACACAUGCAAGUCGAACGGUGAAGGCGGAGCUUGCUCUGCUGGAUCAGUGGCGAACGGGUGAGUAACACGUGAGCAAUCUGCCCCUGACUCUGGGAUAAGCGCUGGAAACGGCGUCUAAUACUGGAUACGAGCUGCGAAGGCAUCUUCAGCAGCUGGAAAGAACUUCGGUCAGGGAUGAGCUCGCGGCCUAUCAGCUUGUUGGUGGGGUAAUGGCUCACCAAGGCGUCGACGGGUAGCCGGCCUGAGAGGGUGACCGGCCACACUGGGACUGAGACACGGCCCAGACUCCUACGGGAGGCAGCAGUGGGGAAUAUUGCACAAUGGGCGAAAGCCUGAUGCAGCAACGCCGCGUGAGGGACGACGGCCUUCGGGUUGUAAACCUCUUUUAGCAGGGAAGAAGCGAAAGUGACGGUACCUGCAGAAAAAGCGCCGGCUAACUACGUG
RNAcentral lists this ribosomal RNA (468 nucleotides) under uncultured bacterium. RNAcentral describes it as "partial 16S ribosomal RNA". It matches the Rfam family "Bacterial small subunit ribosomal RNA", at positions 28 to 507 of the family's 1533-position model. The record is from RNAcentral.